AUGCGGCAACUCCACCAGAGUCAGAAUUUGCCGUGGCUCUUGAUUGGCGAUCUUAAUGAAAUCCAGUUUCUUCAUGAGAAGGAGGGAGGCAAUCCACGUCCGACACAAUAUAUGCAGACCUUUCAAGAAGCAAUUGAUGAUUGUGGUUUACAUGAUAUGGGCUUCAUCGGGGACCCGUUCACAUGGAGACGUGGAAGAAUAAGGGAAAGGCUAGACAGAGGCCUGGUGAAUGAUGCAUGGGCGAACUUGUUUACUAAUGCAGCAUUGCAGAAUUUGGAAUUUAACCACUCUAAGCACAGACCCCUUCUUGUGGAUACAGAGUUCUAUACACAUCCAACCGCCAUACAGAACAAUGUGCAAGUAAAACAAUUUGAGGCACAAUGGUUGAGGGAGAGGAGUUUUGAGAAGACGGUGACGACGGUGUGGAAUGAUGUUACAGCCUAUCCAACUGUGACUAAUAUUUAUGAAAAGCUGAAUAAAAUGCAUAACCAGUUCCACGACUCGGAUCACAAAGUUCUCAAAAAGCCAAAAAAGUGUCUGCGUAAAGCACAGCGAGAUCUUGAAAGAGUUAUGGUGAGGCCUAUGGAUGAUGAGAAUGAAGAAAAGAGAAGAGAAUUAACUGAACUCAUCGAGUAUUUGAUGGAAUUGGAAGAGAUUCAAGUGAGGCAACAGUCCAGACCAACUUGGCUAAAAGCUCGCGACCGCAACACUUCUUUCUUCCAGGCGUUCACUUAG
RNAcentral lists this ribosomal RNA (735 nucleotides) under Triticum aestivum (bread wheat). RNAcentral's name for it is "partial small subunit ribosomal RNA". The record is from RNAcentral. Lineage: Eukaryota; Viridiplantae; Streptophyta; Magnoliopsida; Poales; Poaceae.